RNAcentral lists this ribosomal RNA (285 nucleotides) under uncultured rumen protozoa. RNAcentral describes it as "partial 18S ribosomal RNA". It matches the Rfam family "Eukaryotic small subunit ribosomal RNA", at positions 1276 to 1591 of the family's 1831-position model. The record is from RNAcentral.
GGUGGUGCAUGGCCGUUCUUAGUUGGUGGAGUGAUUUGUCUGGUUAAUUCCGACAACGAACGAGACCUUAACCUGCUAACUAGUCUGCUCCAUUUUAUGGAGACUGACUUCUUAGAGGGACUAUGAAUGUCAAGUGCAUGGAAGUUUGAGGCAAUAACAGGUCUGUGAUGCCCUUAUAUGUCCUGGACUGCACGCGUGCUACACUGAUGCAUACAACAAGUGCCUAGCUAGACAUAGUAUGGCAAUCUGGAAUAUGCAUCGUGAUGGGGAUAGAUCUUUGCAAUU